This 1774-nucleotide ribosomal RNA is filed under the name Escherichia coli KTE163. Its description in RNAcentral is "bacterial LSU rRNA". It matches the Rfam family "Bacterial large subunit ribosomal RNA", at positions 398 to 2157 of the family's 2925-position model. The record is from RNAcentral. Lineage: Bacteria; Pseudomonadati; Pseudomonadota; Gammaproteobacteria; Enterobacterales; Enterobacteriaceae.
UGUGAGCUCGAUGAGUAGGGCGGGACACGUGGUAUCCUGUCUGAAUAUGGGGGGACCAUCCUCCAAGGCUAAAUACUCCUGACUGACCGAUAGUGAACCAGUACCGUGAGGGAAAGGCGAAAAGAACCCCGGCGAGGGGAGUGAAAAAGAACCUGAAACCGUGUACGUACAAGCAGUGGGAGCACGCUUAGGCGUGUGACUGCGUACCUUUUGUAUAAUGGGUCAGCGACUUAUAUUCUGUAGCAAGGUUAACCGAAUAGGGGAGCCGAAGGGAAACCGAGUCUUAACUGGGCGUUAAGUUGCAGGGUAUAGACCCGAAACCCGGUGAUCUAGCCAUGGGCAGGUUGAAGGUUGGGUAACACUAACUGGAGGACCGAACCGACUAAUGUUGAAAAAUUAGCGGAUGACUUGUGGCUGGGGGUGAAAGGCCAAUCAAACCGGGAGAUAGCUGGUUCUCCCCGAAAGCUAUUUAGGUAGCGCCUCGUGAAUUCAUCUCCGGGGGUAGAGCACUGUUUCGGCAAGGGGGUCAUCCCGACUUACCAACCCGAUGCAAACUGCGAAUACCGGAGAAUGUUAUCACGGGAGACACACGGCGGGUGCUAACGUCCGUCGUGAAGAGGGAAACAACCCAGACCGCCAGCUAAGGUCCCAAAGUCAUGGUUAAGUGGGAAACGAUGUGGGAAGGCCCAGACAGCCAGGAUGUUGGCUUAGAAGCAGCCAUCAUUUAAAGAAAGCGUAAUAGCUCACUGGUCGAGUCGGCCUGCGCGGAAGAUGUAACGGGGCUAAACCAUGCACCGAAGCUGCGGCAGCGACGCUUAUGCGUUGUUGGGUAGGGGAGCGUUCUGUAAGCCUGUGAAGGUGUGCUGUGAGGCAUGCUGGAGGUAUCAGAAGUGCGAAUGCUGACAUAAGUAACGAUAAAGCGGGUGAAAAGCCCGCUCGCCGGAAGACCAAGGGUUCCUGUCCAACGUUAAUCGGGGCAGGGUGAGUCGACCCCUAAGGCGAGGCCGAAAGGCGUAGUCGAUGGGAAACAGGUUAAUAUUCCUGUACUUGGUGUUACUGCGAAGGGGGGACGGAGAAGGCUAUGUUGGCCGGGCGACGGUUGUCCCGGUUUAAGCGUGUAGGCUGGUUUUCCAGGCAAAUCCGGAAAAUCAAGGCUGAGGCGUGAUGACGAGGCACUACGGUGCUGAAGCAACAAAUGCCCUGCUUCCAGGAAAAGCCUCUAAGCAUCAGGUAACAUCAAAUCGUACCCCAAACCGACACAGGUGGUCAGGUAGAGAAUACCAAGGCGCUUGAGAGAACUCGGGUGAAGGAACUAGGCAAAAUGGUGCCGUAACUUCGGGAGAAGGCACGCUGAUAUGUAGGUGAAGUCCCUCGCGGAUGGAGCUGAAAUCAGUCGAAGAUACCAGCUGGCUGCAACUGUUUAUUAAAAACACAGCACUGUGCAAACACGAAAGUGGACGUAUACGGUGUGACGCCUGCCCGGUGCCGGAAGGUUAAUUGAUGGGGUCAGCGCAAGCGAAGCUCUUGAUCGAAGCCCCGGUAAACGGCGGCCGUAACUAUAACGGUCCUAAGGUAGCGAAAUUCCUUGUCGGGUAAGUUCCGACCUGCACGAAUGGCGUAAUGAUGGCCAGGCUGUCUCCACCCGAGACUCAGUGAAAUUGAACUCGCUGUGAAGAUGCAGUGUACCCGCGGCAAGACGGAAAGACCCCGUGAACCUUUACUAUAGCUUGACACUGAACAUUGAGCCUUGAUGUGUAGGAUAGGUGGGAGGCUU